CCUACGGGAGGCAGCAGUGGGGGAUAUUGCACAAUGGGGGAAACCCUGAUGCAGCGACGCCGCGUGUGGGAAGACGGUCCUCUGGAUUGUAAACCACUGUCCCCAGGGACGAAAAUGACGGUACCUUGGGAGGAAGCUCCGACUCACUACGUGCCAGCAGCAGCGUUAAGACGUAGGGAGCGAGCGUUGUCCGGAAUUACUGGUUUUAGAGGGAGCGUAGGCGGGGAUGAAAGUUGGGUGUCAAAACUACCGGCUCAACUGGUAGUCGCACUCAAAACUGCAGCGCUUGAGUUAAGUAGAGGCAGGCGGAAUUCCUAGUGUAGCGGUGAAAUGCGUAGAUAUUAGGAGGAACACCAGUGGCGAAGGCGGCCUGCUGGGCUUUUACUGACGCUGAGGCUCGAAAGUGUGGGGAGCAAACAGGAUUAGAUACCCCGGUAGUC
This 440-nucleotide ribosomal RNA is filed under the name uncultured bacterium. RNAcentral's name for it is "partial 16S ribosomal RNA". It matches the Rfam family "Bacterial small subunit ribosomal RNA", at positions 338 to 795 of the family's 1533-position model. The record is from RNAcentral.